Molecule: ribosomal RNA, 460 nt
Filed under: uncultured bacterium
Lineage: Bacteria
Description: partial 16S ribosomal RNA
Rfam family: Bacterial small subunit ribosomal RNA
Source: RNAcentral
CCUACGGGUGGCAGCAGUGAGGAAUAUUGGUCAAUGGGCGGGAGCCUGAACCAGCCAAGUAGCGUGCAGGAUGACGGCCCUACGGGUUGUAAACUGCUUUUAUAGGGGAAUAAAGCGCCGUACGUGUACGGCUUUGCGAGUACCCGGUGAAUAAGCAUCGGCUAAUUCCGUGCCAGCAGCCGCGGUAAUACGGAAGGUGCGGGCGUUAUCCGGAGUUAUUGGGGUUAAAGGGUGCGUAGGCCGACCGUCAAGCGUGCUGUGAAAUUUCCGGGCUCAACCCCGGCCUUGCAGCGCAAACGGGGUGGCGUGAGUCGGCGGAGAGCAGGCGGAAGGCGUCGUGUAGGGGUGAAAUGGUUAGAUAUGACGAAGAACUCCGAUUGCGAAGGCAGCGUGCUGGCGCGGAACUGACGCUGAAGCACGAAGGCGCGGGUAUCGAACAGGAUUAGAUACCCUAGUAGUC